RNAcentral lists this ribosomal RNA (406 nucleotides) under uncultured bacterium. Its description in RNAcentral is "partial 16S ribosomal RNA". It matches the Rfam family "Bacterial small subunit ribosomal RNA", at positions 30 to 526 of the family's 1533-position model. The record is from RNAcentral.
AUUGAACGCUGGCGGCAGGCUUAACACAUGCAAGUCGAACGAGUGGCGGACGGGUGAGUAAUGCUUGGGAAUCUAGCUUAUGGAGGGGGAUAACUCCGGGAAACUGUAGCUAAUACCGCGUACCAUAGGAUGAGCCCAAGUGGGAUUAGGUAGUUGGUGAGGUAAAGGCUAACCAAGCCGACGAUCUCUAGCUGUGCUGAGAGGAUGACCAGCCACACUGGGACUGAGACACGGCCCAUACUCCUACGGGAGGCAGCAGUGGGGAAUAUUGCGCAAUGGGGGCAACCCUGACGCAGCCAGGCCGCGUGUAUGAAGAAGGCCUUCGGGUUGUAAAGUACUUUCAGUCGGGAGGCGUUACCGACAGAAGAAGCACCGGCUAACUCCGUGCCAGCAGCCGCGGUAAUAC